Long non-coding RNA from Vitis riparia (riverbank grape), 217 nucleotides. RefSeq lists it as uncharacterized. The record is from RefSeq and is a predicted model, not a curated record. Lineage: Eukaryota; Viridiplantae; Streptophyta; Magnoliopsida; Vitales; Vitaceae. The transcript has 3 exons.
UUUGGGGGUUGCUCUAUUAUGAUUGAUGUAUAGUUGGCAUAUUGAGAGGUGAAGCCAAGUAGACAUGGUUGUACAAAAAGGCAUAGGUCAUUCUAUUAACAACGUCACUACUGCUCUUGAUGAAGGACACCCACAAACAAUUCAAAAUAUAUCAUCAAAAGAAUUUUGAGAUUGAGCAUCUAGAAAGUGAGUUACAACCAUCCUUUUGCACUUGGAA